RNAcentral lists this ribosomal RNA (527 nucleotides) under Alternaria sp. HYD-2. RNAcentral describes it as "eukaryotic LSU rRNA". The stretch from base 151 to 304 matches the Rfam family "5.8S ribosomal RNA". The record is from RNAcentral. Lineage: Eukaryota; Fungi; Ascomycota; Dothideomycetes; Pleosporales; Pleosporaceae.
GGGCUGGAAUCUCUCGGGGUUACAGCCUUGCUGAAUUAUUCACCCUUGUCUUUUGCGUACUUCUUGUUUCCUUGGUGGGUUCGCCCACCACUAGGACAAACAUAAACCUUUUGUAAUUGCAAUCAGCGUCAGUAACAAAUUAAUAAUUACAACUUUCAACAACGGAUCUCUUGGUUCUGGCAUCGAUGAAGAACGCAGCGAAAUGCGAUAAGUAGUGUGAAUUGCAGAAUUCAGUGAAUCAUCGAAUCUUUGAACGCACAUUGCGCCCUUUGGUAUUCCAAAGGGCAUGCCUGUUCGAGCGUCAUUUGUACCCUCAAGCUUUGCUUGGUGUUGGGCGUCUUGUCUCUAGCUUUGCUGGAGACUCGCCUUAAAGUAAUUGGCAGCCGGCCUACUGGUUUCGGAGCGCAGCACAAUUCGCACUCUCUAUCAGCAAAGGUCUAGCAUCCAUUAAGCCUUUUUUCACCUUUUGACCUCGGAUCAGGUAGGGAUACCCGCUGAACUUAAGCAUAUCAAUAAGCGGAGGAAAU